UUGGCAUGGCGUUCUGCGUUGAGCUACGUUGCUACGCUCUCUGACGAUUAUUUCCUGUCGCAGUCGUGGGUUCGAAUCGCAGUGGAGAGAGAGAGAGAAGAGAGGCAGGUUUGCUUUGGAAUUCGCUGCUCAACAGGCAAAUUUCAUGUCCACAUUGGGGCGAGAGCAAAAGCACGUUUUGUUUCACUCCACGAAGGUUACGCGACUACUUCAUUGCUUGGCGGAUCCUUUACUAUAUCUAUAUAAACGACAUUCCUUU
Drosophila grimshawi is the source of this 259-nucleotide long non-coding RNA. RefSeq lists it as uncharacterized. The transcript has 2 exons. The record is from RefSeq and is a predicted model, not a curated record. NCBI's taxonomy places the organism in Eukaryota, Metazoa, Arthropoda, Insecta, Diptera, Drosophilidae.